Unclassified non-coding RNA from Ursus americanus (American black bear), 300 nucleotides. Its record names the gene 7SK. It matches the Rfam family "7SK RNA". From Rfam's summary of the family: 7SK was discovered as an abundant small nuclear RNA in the mid-70s but a possible function has only recently been suggested. Two independent studies have found that 7SK RNA binds the CDK9/cyclin T complex (known as elongation factor P-TEFb). P-TEFb activates transcription by phosphorylating the C-terminal domain of RNA polymerase II. The record is from Ensembl. NCBI's taxonomy places the organism in Eukaryota, Metazoa, Chordata, Mammalia, Carnivora, Ursidae.
GGAUGGGAGGGCGAUCUGGCUGCGACAUCUGUCACCCCAUUGAUUGCCAGGGUUGAUUCGGCCAAUGUGGCUGGCUAGGCGGGUGUCCCCUUACUCCCUCACCGCUCCAUGUGCGUCCCUCCUGAAGCUGCGCGCUCGGUCGAAGAGGACGACCUUCCCUGAUAGAGGAGGACCGUUCUUCGGUCAAGGAUAUACGAGUAGCUACGCUCCCCUGCUAGAACUUCCAAACAAGCUCUCAAGGUCCUGCUGGAGGGGAGCCCGGAAUUGGCCUCCUCUGGGGCGGAUGUUGAGCCUUUCAUA